RNAcentral lists this ribosomal RNA (1998 nucleotides) under human gut metagenome. RNAcentral's name for it is "bacterial LSU rRNA". It matches the Rfam family "Bacterial large subunit ribosomal RNA", at positions 3 to 2026 of the family's 2925-position model. The record is from RNAcentral.
UUAAGUUAAUAAGGGCGCACGGUGGAUGCCUUGGCACUAGAAGCCGAUGAAGGACGUGACUAACGACGAAAUGCUUUGGGGAGCUGUAAGUGAGCAAUGAUCCAGAGAUGUCCGAAUGGGGGAACCCGGCAGGUAAUGCCUGUCACUCAUUACUGUUAAGGUAAUGUAGAGGAAGACGCAGUGAACUGAAACAUCUAAGUAGCUGCAGGAAGAGAAAGCAAAAGCGAUUGCCUUAGUAGCGGCGAGCGAAACGGCAAGAGGGCAAACCGAAGAGUUUACUCUUCGGGGUUGUAGGACUGCAACGUGGACUUAAAGAUUAUAGAAGAACUACCUGGGAAGGUAGGCCAAAGAGAGUAAUAGCCUCGUAUUCGAAAUAGUCUUUAUACCUAGCAGUAUCCUGAGUACGGCGAGACACGAGAAAUCUCGUCGGAAUCUGGGAGGACCAUCUCCCAACCCUAAAUACUCUCUAGUGACCGAUAGUGAACCAGUACCGUGAGGGAAAGGUGAAAAGCACCCCGGGAGGGGAGUGAAAUAGAACCUGAAACCGUGUGCCUACAACAAGUUCGAGCCCGUUAAUGGGUGAGAGCGUGCCUUUUGUAGAAUGAACCGGCGAGUUACGAUAUGAUGCGAGGUUAAGUUGAAGAGACGGAGCCGUAGGGAAACCGAGUCUUAAUAGGGCGCAUUAGUAUCAUGUCGUAGACCCGAAACCAUGUGACCUACCCAUGAGCAGGUUGAAGGUGAGGUAAAACUCACUGGAGGACCGAACCAGGGCACGUUGAAAAGUGCUUGGAUGACUUGUGGGUAGCGGAGAAAUUCCAAACGAACUUGGAGAUAGCUGGUUCUCUCCGAAAUAGCUUUAGGGCUAGCGUCGAUGUUAAGUCUCUUGGAGGUAGAGCACUGUUUGGGUGAGGGGUCCAUCCCGGAUUACCAAUCUCAGAUAAACUCCGAAUGCCAACGAGAUAUAAUCGGCAGUCAGACUGCGAGUGCUAAGAUCCGUAGUCGAAAGGGAAACAGCCCAGACCACCAGCUAAGGUCCCAAAAUAUAUGUUAAGUGGAAAAGGAUGUGGGGUUGCACAGACAACUAGGAUGUUAGCUUAGAAGCAGCUAUUCAUUCAAAGAGUGCGUAAUAGCUCACUAGUCGAGUGACCCUGCGCCGAAAAUGUACCGGGGCUAAAACAUAUUACCGAAGCUGUGGAUACCUUUAUAGGUAUGGUAGGAGAGCGUUCUAUGUGCGAAGAAGGUGUACCGUGAGGAGUGCUGGAGCGCAUAGAAGUGAGAAUGCCGGUAUGAGUAGCGAAAGACAGGUGAGAAUCCUGUCCACCGUAAGACUAAGGUUUCCAGGGGAAGGCUCGUCCGCCCUGGGUUAGUCGGGACCUAAGGAGAGACCGAAAGGUGUAUCCGAUGGACAACAGGUUGAUAUUCCUGUACUAGAGUAUAUAGUGAUGGAGGGACGCAGUAGGCUAACUAAACCAGACGAUUGGAAGUGUCUGGCCAAGCAGUGAGGUGUGAUAUGAGUCAAAUGCUUAUAUCUAUAACAUUGAGCUGUGAUGGGGAGCGAAGUUUAGUAGCGAAGUUAGUGAUGUCACACUGCCGAGAAAAGCUUCUAGCGUUAAUUAUACUCUACCCGUACCGCAAACCGACACAGGUAGUCGAGGCGAGUAGCCUCAGGUGAGCGAGAGAACUCUCGUUAAGGAACUCGGCAAAAUGGCCCCGUAACUUCGGGAGAAGGGGCGCUGACUUAUGGUCAGCCGCAGUGAAUAGGCCCAAGCAACUGUUUAUCAAAAACACAGCUCUCUGCUAAAUCGUAAGAUGAUGUAUAGGGGGUGACGCCUGCCCGGUGCUGGAAGGUUAAGAGGAGUGCUUAGCAAUAGCGAAGGUAUGAAUUGAAGCCCCAGUAAACGGCGGCCGUAACUAUAACGGUCCUAAGGUAGCGAAAUUCCUUGUCGGGUAAGUUCCGACCCGCACGAAAGGCGUAAUGAUUUGGGCACUGUCUCAACG